This 434-nucleotide long non-coding RNA is filed under the name Nicotiana tabacum (common tobacco). RNAcentral describes it as "long non-coding RNA (NTAB_LNC010875)". The record is from RNAcentral. Lineage: Eukaryota; Viridiplantae; Streptophyta; Magnoliopsida; Solanales; Solanaceae.
UGUAUAACGAGAGGAAUAAUUUUCAGUCUUAGUUUAAAUAGGCGCCCACCUGUAUAACGAGAGGAAUAAUUUUCAGUAUUAGUUUAAAUAGGCGCCCACCUGUAUAACGAGAGGAAUAUUUUCAUGUCUUAGUUUAAAUAGGCGCCCACCUGUAUAACGAGAGGAAUAAUUUUCAUGUCUUAGUUUAAAUAGGCGCCCACCUGUAUAACGAGAGGAAUACUUUUCAGUCUUAGUUUAAAUAGGCGCCCACCUGUAUAACGAGAGGAAUAAUUUUCAGUCUUAGUUUAAAUAGGAGCCCACCUGUAUAACGAGAGGAAUAAUUUUCAGUCUUAGUUUAAAUAGGUGCCCACCUGUAUAACGAGAGGAAUAUUUUCAUGUCUUAGUUAAAUAGGCGCCCUCCUGUAUAACGAGAGGAAUACUUUUCAUGUUUUAGU